AACGAACGCUGGCGGCAGGCCUAACACAUGCAAGUCGAGCGCACCUUCGGGUGAGCGGCGGACGGGUUAGUAACGCGUGGGAACGUACCCUUCACUGCGGAAUAGCCUCUGGAAACGGAGAGUAAUACCGCAUACGCCCUUCGGGGGAAAGAUUUAUCGGUGAAGGAUCGGCCCGCGUUAGAUUAGAUAGUUGGUGGGGUAAUGGCCUACCAAGUCUACGAUCUAUAGCUGGUUUGAGAGGAUGAUCAGCAACACUGGGACUGAGACACGGUCCAGACUCCUACGGGAGGCAGCAGUGGGAAAUAUUGGACAAUGGGCGCAAGCCUGAUCCAGCAACGCCGCGUGAGUGAUGAAGGCCUUAGGGUUGUAAAGCUCUGUCAGUUGGGACGAAAAAACAAAAGUUAAUACCUUUUGUAUUGACGGUACCUUCAAAGGAAGCACCGGCUAACUCCG
Molecule: ribosomal RNA, 453 nt
Filed under: uncultured Paracoccaceae bacterium
Lineage: Bacteria; Pseudomonadati; Pseudomonadota; Alphaproteobacteria; Rhodobacterales; Paracoccaceae
Description: bacterial SSU rRNA
Rfam family: Bacterial small subunit ribosomal RNA
Source: RNAcentral